GCGGUGAAGUCAGACCGGAAGGACUGGUGGAGCGCUUAGAAGUGAGAAUGCCGGUAUGAGUAGCGAAAGAAGGGUGAGAAUCCCUUCCACCGAAUAUCUAAGGUUUCCUGAGGAAGGCUCGUCCGCUCAGGGUUAGUCGGGACCUAAGCCGAGGCCGAUAGGCGUAGGCGAUGGACAACAGGUAGAGAUUCCUGUACCAGUGCUAAUUGUUUAACCGAUGGGGUGACACAGAAGGAUAGGGAAUCGCACGAAUGGAAAUGUGCGUCCAAGCAGUGAGUGUGAGAAGUAGGCAAAUCCGCUUCUUGCGAAGCAUGAGCUGUGAUGGGGAAGGAAAUUAAGUACGGAAGUUCCUGAUUUCACGCUGUCAAGAAAAGCCUCUAGGAAGAGUAGUACUGCCCGUACCGCAAACCGACACAGGUAGAUGAGGAGAGAAUCCUAAGGUGAGCGAGAGAACUCUCGUUAAGGAACUCGGCAAAAUGACCCCGUAACUUCGGGAGAAGGGGUGCU
Molecule: ribosomal RNA, 507 nt
Filed under: Listeria innocua
Lineage: Bacteria; Bacillati; Bacillota; Bacilli; Caryophanales; Listeriaceae
Description: partial 23S ribosomal RNA
Rfam family: Bacterial large subunit ribosomal RNA
Source: RNAcentral